RNAcentral lists this long non-coding RNA (262 nucleotides) under Elaeis guineensis (African oil palm). Its description in RNAcentral is "long non-coding RNA (EGUI_LNC060249)". Lineage: Eukaryota; Viridiplantae; Streptophyta; Magnoliopsida; Arecales; Arecaceae. The record is from RNAcentral.
UCUGGCAAGUCGCGACAACGGACGCUGCUCCACUCUCCGCAACGGGCUCCACGUGGCAGGCCACGGUGAUGGCCACGAUUCCACUCCACUACUCUUCAUAAUAAACUUCUCCCGACCCCGAACGGCCCACUGCCAGGCGGCUACAAACGUCGCUAUCAGUCCAUUGCACCCUCCGCCUAUAAAAAGGGGAGACCCCAGAUAUGUUAUUCUCUAAGCUCUAAUUUCUAUCUCAAAACUCUGCUAAAAUUUUUGUUCGAGCACU